Molecule: long non-coding RNA, 784 nt
Filed under: Vigna radiata
Lineage: Eukaryota; Viridiplantae; Streptophyta; Magnoliopsida; Fabales; Fabaceae
Description: long non-coding RNA (VRAD_LNC011283)
Source: RNAcentral
UUUGGGGAAAACUUUUUGAAGAGAAAGGUUUAUCUGAGAGAAAAAUUUGAGAGUUUAGUGGGGUAGAUGUCUAAGUGUUGAUUUUGCAGGAUCUAAUCAUCUCUUCUACCUCCUCGCUUUUUGUACCGCCCUCUCUCCGGCCGCGCAGCACAGAGUCUUCUUUUUUAGGUUUGUUUCCUUCUAUGCUUGUUUCUGUAAUUCCCUAAUAAACAUGGAUAAUAUACUAAAAUGAUUGGCAGUAGCAAUAUAUGGCUUUCUGGUAGUAUCAUAGUGAUAUUCUUAGAUUAUAGAAUUUGUACGUCAAAUUUCUUCUUUUACUUCAUUGUUUGCUGCUUAUUGUGUUGUUCUACACUUUAAAGAUGUCUGUGUGUGGUGGGGGAAUGGAUCCCCUCGUGCUCAAGUUGAUUGAAUUGUUUUUUUUUUUCCUCUGUUUAUACCUAUGUAUUGAUUUUUUUUUUUGUGCUAGCAAAAAACUCAGGCUGGAUAAGAUGCUGGAGAAUAUUUUUUAGUGUGGUUGCAGAUGCAUUUUUUACAAGGGAAAAAACCUGAGAUAAAUCAGGAAGGGUUAGGAUAAGGAUUUAUUAGUGCUUUUGUAAUCACAUGCAUGUUGUAAACACCCACCACCCAAUUUCGUCGGGAUCAACUAAAUAAAAGAUUUUUUUUAUUUUAUUUUUAUCUUAUGUUCUUUCAUUUUAUUUUAUGUUAUUUUAUUAUUUUUAAUUUUAUUUUACUAUUUUGUAUUUGAUUUGGUUUUUUUAAAGAAAAAAAACGAAAAAAAAAAAGA